RNAcentral lists this unclassified non-coding RNA (377 nucleotides) under plant metagenome. RNAcentral describes it as "partial contains 5.8S ribosomal RNA, internal transcribed spacer 2, and large subunit ribosomal RNA". The stretch from base 1 to 104 matches the Rfam family "5.8S ribosomal RNA", at positions 51 to 154 of the family's 154-position model. The record is from RNAcentral.
AAAUGCGAUAAGUAAUGUGAAUUGCAGAAUUCAGUGAAUCAUCGAAUCUUUGAACGCACCUUGCGCUCCUUGGUAUUCCUUGGAGCAUGCCUGUUUGAGUAUCAUGAAAUCUUCAAAGUAAAUCUUUUGUUAACUCAAUUGGUUUCUACUUUGGUAUUGGAGGUCUUUGCAGCUUCACACCUGCUCCUCUUUGUUCAUUAGCUGGAUCUCAGUGUUAUGCUUGGUUCCACUCGGCGUGAUAAGUUAUCUAUCGCUGAGGACACAGUAAAAGGUGGCCAAGGUAAAUGCAGAUGAACCGCUUCUAAUAGUCCAUUGACUUGGACAAUACUUUUAUGAUCUGAUCUCAAAUCAGGUAGGACUACCCGCUGAACUUAAGC